AGCUGAGGCGAGGUGAAGGCUUCUGACCCAGUCUGAGGAGAGUGCUGUAAUUCUGUGCUGGGCGGGACUGCCUGCAAUCUUGCUGCCGAUCUAAAGCCCAUCCAGGCAGAGCCCUGUAGCCCUGAGCCUGCUGCAGCCAACUCCGCUCAACGACAGCUGAAUGAGUGUGCUGGUCAGUGCUGGGACAGGUGGCUAAGGUGGGGACUCCAUCUCCUGAUGCCUCAUUUUGGGAGCCUGCAAAUACCAGGCUCUCUCUGGACCCUCUCCAGCACCCCCACGACCCUCCUGUGCAGAGGCCUGGACACAGAUGGGGCCUCAUGGGAGUAGAGUAGAGGCAGCCAAUGCCCUCCCUCUCCCUGCUGGCCACCCCUCUCCUGAUGCAGCACAGGAUACUGUCGGCCUUCCAGGCUGCAAGAGCACACUGCUGGCUCGUGAUUUUCAUCCACCAGGACCCUGACAUGUGGAAUCAAGCUCUAUAACCCGGAUAGGUUAUAAAGCAGAAAGAUCUGCUCCAUGAUCUUCCCAGACACAGGACUUGUUCUGUGGAUGUGCUUUACAGAGCCUGGGUGCAGCUCUGGGCCAGCCAGCCAGCAUGGAGACCCUAGGCUGCUCCCUUCUCCAAGAGAGUACGUCCAUGCUUGUCCUGCACUAGUCUACACAGACCUUUAUAUUUUGUGGGUGUGUGAUUUGAGAAAGAGACAUUUUAAACUACAUCUGAAAUCAGAAGCGCAUCUCCAGCCAACAGAGCAUCAGUGUGCACAGCCCCAGGCUCCCUGUGCUGCAGGCGGCCUUAUUGAUAAACUCUGCUUUCUGACCUUCUCUGUACAUCUUCUAGAAUCUUCGUGUAAAAGAAAAUAUAAAUUAAAAAAUAGGCAAACAAUAAAAACAAGCCAAACAAAAGAGAGCAGCAUUUUCUUUUCCUGUCGUGGACCACUCCCCUCCUGAGAACUUCUGCUCUUGAAUUGCACUGCUCUGUUGAAUUGCACUGCUCUGCGAGGACCAUGCAAGACAGCACCUCUCCACACUGGCUGUGCAUUGAGCUUGUCCUGCCAGCAUCUGGAAAGUCAGAGAGAGACUAUGAGUACUGUGUGUGGCUUAGGACUCACAGGGUAGCUCCUCCUAGCAAGCGGUUGCUCCAGCCCUUGAAGGCUCCACACUCACAUGCUGAUGGAGGAAGAUGGCAGCUUUUACAAAUGUGGCACGCAGACAAGCUUCUACAUUACUUGACACACACAGCCUUCCCUGGAUUGGAGCGUCCCAUGUCUUUUCAGCUCCCCUGCAGGCUUCAGGAAAAAUAAAUUCUUGGCUUCCUCUGCAUGUGAAUAAAGGUAGAGAUUUCCAAACUCAAUCUUCCCAGACAUUUGAAAGAUGACAUAAUUUGACAUGAGUCAGCAUGAUUGGCAGGUCAAAGCAUACUGCUGGCUCUCACAGCUCAGGAGAGCCUGGCAAAUUGGCAGAGCUCUGACGCUCAUCAUGCCACAGCCUAUGAGUUGCGUCUCUUUGUAUUCUCUCUCUAUCUACAUUCAGAAAAAAUAUUUCACAGUUCGUAUUAUCUGGACCACAUCAGGGCUCAGAAAGGGAGCGAGAAAAUAGGAAUGGGAGGG
Molecule: long non-coding RNA, 1604 nt
Organism: Gallus gallus (chicken)
Lineage: Eukaryota; Metazoa; Chordata; Aves; Galliformes; Phasianidae
Exons: 4
Source: RefSeq, a predicted model, not a curated record